GUCGGAGCUGUAUAAAAAGGCCCCAGCAGACCAGGUUCUUCAUUCGCUUGCCUUCGCUUGCCUUCACUGCCUCUUCCAUCUGUGAACAGUUGGUUCACCUCAAGAAACCUCAACAUGAACUGCUGCGGUGGAGGAGGAGGAUGCAGGCUCAUCCUGAUCAACAGCGGUAAUAGUGGCGGCGGCUGCGACUGCGACUGCGACUGCGGCGGCGGCGGGUCUAACAACAACGGAAUGAGAGUGAUCUGCCUCCCCAAUUCGUGCUGCGGUGGGUGUUGUCAACCAAGUUGUCAACCCAUGGUCUACUGCUGUGGAGGAAACAACCGGGGUGGCUGCUGCGGCUAAGUAAUCCAGCAAGUCCCCAGUGUCCAAGCCUUCCUCUGAGAUCUGUGGAAAACCCGGCUGGUCCUUUCCAUCUGAGGAUGUUGUGAUGCUCUCUCCCUCGCCUUCUUAAGCUACUCACUCUUCAUCUUCCCUUCCCUGCCCAGAGAUCACGUUCAGCACAUAAGUCUGUGAGAACAUAAAAGCAAGCAUCCACUGCUUGAGGAUGAUGUGUUCUUUCUCACCAUCUAACAACUAAUGUGUUCAUCUUCUGGGAAUGGAAGUUCUUCCAGAAUUGCUUUUCCUACUGUACUGUCAUUUCUCUGGGGACAAUAAACCUUGCAAGCAUGGACAUUUUCUGUGUUCUGGUGUUCAUUGCAUAAUAACAAAACACCUUCAUAGCUCUAUUUCCAUUCAGAUAUGAUCAUAUGAUGUUGUCUUUUACCAACUGAGAUGACUGGCCCUUCAGAUUCAGUGCUGUCUACCUGGAUCACAGAAGCUCUCAGGCAGAAAGCUCUUUUCCAGAAUUUGUUACCUGAGAUCCUUUUAAAUGGAGAUGUGUUUGGCACCCUUCUGCCUGGGUGUGUGUGUGAGAUGUUCUACCACUCAGCUCUGGUUCCUCUGUGCCUGGUAAACAAGGGGCCAAUGAUAUGAGACUUUGCCUCUUUUUAAAAAAUAAUAAUAAUUCAGGGAUUGGCAACUGUACCCCCAGACUAAAAGCUGAGUAAAAUUCUGCCCUUCUGGCUGGCCAGCUCAGAGGAAAUCAAGGGGUGCCCAGAGACCAUGGAAUUUAGGUGAUGGAGUAUGGCGAUGAAGUAUGGUCAGAUGUGGCCUACCACACACCGUCUUCUACUCGAAGUGUAAAACUAGCUUCAAACUCAAACUGCAAACAUAUAAUGAUCUGUAGUCAGGCAGACAUGAAACAGGUUAAUGGCUUCAAGGUUAGCUAGCUUGGA
This is a long non-coding RNA of Gekko japonicus, 1274 nucleotides long. RefSeq lists it as uncharacterized. The transcript is spliced from 3 exons. The record is from RefSeq and is a predicted model, not a curated record. NCBI's taxonomy places the organism in Eukaryota, Metazoa, Chordata, Lepidosauria, Squamata, Gekkonidae.